AGGUAUGUAGUUUUGACGACAAAGCAUCAUGAAGGCUUCACAAACUGGCCGAGUCCUGUGUCUUGGAACUGGAACUCCAAAGACGUGGGGCCUCAUCGGGAUUUGGUUGGUGAAUUGGGAACAGCUCUCCGGAAGAGGAACAUCCGCUAUGGACUAUACCACUCACUCUUAGAGUGGUUCCAUCCACUCUAUCUACUUGAUAAGAAAAAUGGCUUCAAAACACAGCAUUUUGUCAGUGCAAAAACAAUGCCAG
RNAcentral lists this long non-coding RNA (253 nucleotides) under Pan troglodytes (chimpanzee). RNAcentral describes it as "long non-coding RNA NONPTRT000906". Lineage: Eukaryota; Metazoa; Chordata; Mammalia; Primates; Hominidae. The record is from RNAcentral.